This 397-nucleotide ribosomal RNA is filed under the name uncultured bacterium. RNAcentral describes it as "partial 16S ribosomal RNA". It matches the Rfam family "Bacterial small subunit ribosomal RNA", at positions 523 to 918 of the family's 1533-position model. The record is from RNAcentral.
AUACGUAGGUGGCAAGCGUUGUCCGGAAUUAUUGGGCGUAAAGCGCGCGCAGGUGGUUCCUUAAGUCUGAUGUGAAAGCCCCCGGCUCAACCGGGGAGGGUCAUUGGAAACUGGGGAACUUGAGUGCAGAAGAGGAUAGUGGAAUUCCAAGUGUAGCGGUGAAAUGCGUAGAGAUUUGGAGGAACAUCAGUGGCGAAGGCGACUGUCUGGUCUGUACAUGACACUGAGGCGCGAAAGCGUGGGGAGAAAACAGGAUUAGAUCCCCUGGUAGUCCACGCCGUAAACGAUGAGUGCUAAGUGUUGGGGGGUUUCCGCCCCUCAGUGCUGCAGCUAACGCAUUAAGCACUCCGCCUGGGGAGUACGGUCGCAAGACUGAAACUCAAAUGAAUGGACGGGG